Molecule: ribosomal RNA, 468 nt
Filed under: uncultured bacterium
Lineage: Bacteria
Description: bacterial SSU rRNA
Rfam family: Bacterial small subunit ribosomal RNA
Source: RNAcentral
UACGUCCUACGGGAGAAAGUGGGGGAUCUUCGGACCUCACGCUAUUAGAUGAGCCUAGGUCGGAUUAGCUAGUUGGUGAGGUAAUGGCUCACCAAGGCGACGAUCCGUAACUGGUCUGAGAGGAUGAUCAGUCACACUGGAACUGAGACACGGUCCANACUCCUACGGGAGGCAGCAGUGGGGAAUAUUGGACAAUGGGCGAAAGCCUGAUCCAGCCAUGCCGCGUGUGUGAAGAAGGUCUUCGGAUUGUAAAGCACUUUAAGUUGGGAGGAAGGGCAGUUACCUAAUACGUGAUUGUUUUGACGUUACCGACAGAAUANNCACCGGCUAACUCUGUGCCAGCAGCCGCGGUAAUACAGAGGGUGCAAGCGUUAAUCGGAAUUACUGGGCGUAAAGCGCGCGUAGGUGGUUUGUUAAGUUGGAUGUGAAAGCCCCGGGCUCAACCUGGGAACUGCAUCCAAAACUGGC